AUUGAACGCUGGCGGCAGGCUUAACACAUGCAAGUCGAGCGGGGUGAUGGUGCUUGCACUAUCACUUAGCGGCGGACGGGUGAGUAAUGCUUAGGAAUCUGCCUAUUAGUGGGGGACGACAUCUCGAAAGGGAUGCUAAUACCGCAUACGUCCUACGGGAGAAAGCAGGGGAUCACUUGUGACCUUGCGCUAAUAGAUGAGUCUAAGUCGGAUUAGCUAGUUGGUGGGGUAAAGGCCUACCAAGGCGACGAUCUGUAGCGGGUCUGAGAGGAUGAGCCGCCACACUGGGCCUGAGACACGGCCCAGACUCCUACGGGAGGCAGCAGUGGGGAAUAUUGGACAAUGGGGGGAACCCUGAUCCAGCCAUGCCGCGUGUGUGAAGAGGGCCUUAUGGUUGUAAAGCACUUUAAGCGAGGAGGAGGCUCUUUUGGUUAAUACCCAAGAUGAGUGGACGUUACUCGCAGAAUAAGCACCGGCUAACUCUGUGCCAGCCGCCGCAGUAA
Molecule: ribosomal RNA, 503 nt
Filed under: uncultured bacterium
Lineage: Bacteria
Description: partial 16S ribosomal RNA
Rfam family: Bacterial small subunit ribosomal RNA
Source: RNAcentral